This 76-nucleotide transfer RNA is filed under the name Spirochaetia bacterium. RNAcentral describes it as "tRNA-Val". It matches the Rfam family "tRNA". Rfam says of the family: Transfer RNA (tRNA) molecules are approximately 80 nucleotides in length. Their secondary structure includes four short double-helical elements and three loops (D, anti-codon, and T loops). The record is from RNAcentral. Lineage: Bacteria; Pseudomonadati; Spirochaetota; Spirochaetia.
UGGGCGGUUAGCUCAGUUGGUUAGAGCAUCAGUAUGACACGCUGAGGGUCGACAGUUCAAUUCCGUCAUCGCCCAU